ACUCCUACGGGAGGCAGCAGUGGGGAAUAUUGGACAAUGGGCGCAAGCCUGAUCCAGCCAUGCCGCGUGAGUGAUGAAGGCCCUAGGGUUGUAAAGCUCUUUCACCGGUG
RNAcentral lists this ribosomal RNA (110 nucleotides) under uncultured Rhizobium sp. Its description in RNAcentral is "partial 16S ribosomal RNA". It matches the Rfam family "Bacterial small subunit ribosomal RNA", at positions 335 to 444 of the family's 1533-position model. Lineage: Bacteria; Pseudomonadati; Pseudomonadota; Alphaproteobacteria; Hyphomicrobiales; Rhizobiaceae. The record is from RNAcentral.